UACAUAUUUAAAUAAAUUUUAAAUACAUUUGUGUAAAGUACAAACACAAUGUUUUGGGAUUAGAGUUAAGAUUUUAAACUUUAGAUUUGAAGUUAAGUAAUAAAAAAGAUUAGAUUUUUAAGAUUUUUAGUUAGAGUUUAGGGUAUAUGAUUAAUUGAACAUUAGUUUUUAAGUUUGGAAUUUAGAAUAAAUGUUUGAGUACAUGGUUUGAAGGUUGAAGGUUGAAGGUUAAAGGUUUGGGUAUUAAUUUAAGAUUUGAGAUUAAAUUUUAAAACUAUUAAUUUUGAGUUUAUAUUUAAGAUUGAAGGUUAAAGGUUUAGGAGUUUUGGAGGCAGAUAAAAUGGAAUGAGAGGGAAAGUGAAACAAGGGUGAGAGGGAAAGUGAAACAAGGGUGAGAGGGAAAAUUAAUGAUUUUCCCCCAAUAGUUUUGCAUAGCGUUUCAAAACUAAAAGUGUUAUCUAUUUUAUUAAAACUCAAGUACAAAUUAGGUUUGUUUGGAAACAUGUAUAGCAAUUUUUAAAAAAAGUUUGUUUGGAAACAUUGAUUGUAGUUUUUUUUUUAAAAA
RNAcentral lists this long non-coding RNA (565 nucleotides) under Brassica napus (rape). RNAcentral's name for it is "long non-coding RNA (BNAP_LNC015888)". Lineage: Eukaryota; Viridiplantae; Streptophyta; Magnoliopsida; Brassicales; Brassicaceae. The record is from RNAcentral.